UUCACUAGCAAUAGUUUUGCGUUCUUGUGAGUGGGUUCAAUUCACUAGCAAUAGUUUUACGUUCCCGUGAGUGGGUUCAAUUCACUAGCAAUAGUUUUACGUUCCCUUGAGUGGGUUCAAUUCACUAGCAAUAGUUUUGCGUUCCCGUGAGUGGGUUCAAUUCACUAGCAAUAGUUUUGCGUUCCCGUGAGUGGGUUCAAUUCACUAGCAAUAGUUUUACGUUCCCGUGAGUGGGUUCAAUUCACUAGCAAUAAUUUUACGUUCCCGUGAGAUCAUGGGUUCAAUUCACUAGCAAUAGUUUUACUUUCCUGUGAAUGGGUUCAAUUCACUAGCAAUAGUUUUGCGUUCUUGUGAGUGGGUUCAAUUCACUAGCAAUAGUUUUACGUUCCCGUGAGUGGGUUCAAUUCACUAGCAAUAGUUUUACUUUCCUGUGAGUUGGUUCAAUUCACUAGCAAUAGUUUUAAGUUGCCGUGAGUGCAUGGGUUCACUUCACUAGCAAUAGUUUUACGUUCCCGUGAGUGGGUUCAAUUCACUAGCAAUAGUUUUACGUUCCCGUGAGUGGGUUCAAUUCACUAGCAAUAGUUUUACUUUCCCGUGAGUUGGUUCAAUUCACUAGCAAUAGUUUUACGUUCCCUUGAGUGGGUUCAAUUAACUAGCAAUAGUUUUACGUUCCCGUGAGUGGGUUCAAUUCACUAGCAAUAGUUUUACUUUCCUGUGAGUGGGUUCAAUUCACUAGCAAUAGUUUUACGUUCCCGUGAGUGGGUUCAAUUCACUAGCAAUAGUUUUGCGUUCCCGUGAGUGGGUUCAAUUCACUAGCAAUAGUUUUACGUUCCCGUGAGUGGGUUCAAUUCACUAGCAAUAGUUUUAAGUUGCCGUGAGUGGGUUCAAUUCACUAGCAAUAGUUUUAAGUUGCCGUGAGUGCAAGGGUUCACUUCACUAGCAAUAGUUUUACGUUCCCGUGAGUGGGUUCAAUUCACUAGCAAUAGUUUUACGUUCCCUUGAGUGGGUUCAAUUCACUAGCAAUAGUUUUGCGUUCCCGUGAGUGGGUUCAAUUCACUAGCAAUAGUUUUGCGUUCCCGUGAGUGGGUUCAAUUCACUAGCAAUAGUUUUACGUUCCCGUGAGUGGGUUCAAUUCACUAGCAAUAAUUUUACGUUCCCGUGAGAUCAUGGGUUCAAUUCACUAGCAAUAGUUUUACGUUCCCGUGAGUGGGUUCAAUUCACUAGCAAUAGUUUUACGUUCCCGUGAGUGGGUUCAAUUCACUAGCAAUAGUUUUGCGUUCCCGUGAGUGGGUUCAAUUCACUAGCAAUAGUUUUGCGUUCCCGUGAGUGGGUUCAAUUCACUAGCAAUAGUUUUGCGUUCCCGUGAGUGGGUUCAAUUCACUAGCAAUAGUUUUGCGUUCCCGUGAGUGGGUUCAAUUCACUAGCAAUAGUUUUGCGUUCCCGUGAGUGGGUUCAAUUCACUAGCAAUAGUUUUACGUUCCCGUGAGUGGGUUCAAUUCACUAGCAAUAGUUUUGCGUUCCCGUGAGUGGGUUCAAUUCACUAGCAAUAGUUUUGCGUUCCCGUGAGUGGGUUCAAUUCACUAGCAAUAGUUUUGCGUUCCCGUGAGUGGGUUCAAUUCACUGACAAUAGUUUUGGUUUUUGUGCUGUACUCCCCACACUCACACACACACACACACAGUGAAGGAGCCUCCAUCACAACGCCAGUGAUAUUUCCAUAGUCAUGAUGAGACACGCUGUUUCUUAUAAUCAUGGACACUGAUGGGAUAAGUUGAAGAUAAUUAUUGUCAAGAAAGUAAACACAAGCCCGGCCCGUCCAAGGAAACAUGACAACAUUGAUCAUCAUUGAAAAUUUUUAGCCUAUGCAGUCAUAAAAAUUAAUAUUGUUGUAUUUUUUAAUCUC
This is a long non-coding RNA of Halichondria panicea, 1901 nucleotides long. RefSeq lists it as uncharacterized. Lineage: Eukaryota; Metazoa; Porifera; Demospongiae; Suberitida; Halichondriidae. The record is from RefSeq and is a predicted model, not a curated record. The transcript has 2 exons.